UACGUAGGGUGCAAGCGUUAAUCGGAAUUACUGGGCGUAAAGCGUGCGCAGGCGGUUAUGUCAGACAGAUGUGAAAUCCCCGGGCUCAACCUGGGAACUGCAUUUGUGACUGCAUGGCUAGAGUACGGUAGAGGGGGAUGGAAUUCCGCGUGUAGCAGUGAAAUGCGUAGAUAUGCGGAGGAACACCGAUGGCGAAGGCAAUCCCCUGGACCUGUACUGACGCUCAUGCACGAAAGCGUGGGGAGCAAACAGG
RNAcentral lists this ribosomal RNA (253 nucleotides) under uncultured bacterium. RNAcentral's name for it is "partial 16S ribosomal RNA". It matches the Rfam family "Bacterial small subunit ribosomal RNA", at positions 524 to 776 of the family's 1533-position model. The record is from RNAcentral.